GACGAACGCUGGCGGCGUGCUUAACACACGCAAGUCGAACGGAAAGGCCCUGCUUUUGUGGGGUGCUCGAGUGGGGAACGGGUGAGUAACACGUGAGUAACCUGCCCUUGACUUUGGGAUAACUUCAGGAAACUGGGGCUAAUACCGGAUAGGAGCUCCUGCUGCAUGGUGGGGGUUGGAAAGUUUCGGCGGUUGGGGAUGGACUCGCGGCUUAUCAGCUUGUUGGUGGGGUAGUGGCUUACCAAGGCUUUGACGGGUAGCCGGCCUGAGAGGGUGACCGGCCACAUUGGGACUGAGAUACGGCCCAGACUCCUACGGGAGGCAGCAGUGGGGAAUAUUGCACAAUGGGCGGAAGCCUGAUGCAGCAACGCCGCGUGCGGGAUGACGGCCUUCGGGUUGUAAACCGCUUUCGCCUGUGACGAAGCGUGAGUGACGGUAAUGGGUAAAGAAGCACCGGCUAACUACGUG
This 468-nucleotide ribosomal RNA is filed under the name uncultured bacterium. RNAcentral describes it as "partial 16S ribosomal RNA". It matches the Rfam family "Bacterial small subunit ribosomal RNA", at positions 28 to 507 of the family's 1533-position model. The record is from RNAcentral.